Molecule: transfer RNA, 84 nt
Filed under: Paracoccaceae bacterium
Lineage: Bacteria; Pseudomonadati; Pseudomonadota; Alphaproteobacteria; Rhodobacterales; Paracoccaceae
Also listed under: 3 other names
Description: Rhodobacteraceae bacterium tRNA-Leu
Rfam family: tRNA
About the family: Transfer RNA (tRNA) molecules are approximately 80 nucleotides in length.
Source: RNAcentral
GCCCGAGUGGCGGAACGGUAGACGCAGGGGAUUCAAAAUCCCCCGCCGCAAGGUGUGUGGGUUCGAAUCCCACCUCGGGCACCA